AGGGUUUGAUUCUGGCUCAGAAUGAACGUUGGCGGCGUGGAUUAGGCAUGCAAGUCGCACGAGAAAGUCCCGCAAGGGGCGAGUAAAGUGGCGGAAGGGCGAGUACUAUAUAGGUAACCUGCCCACGGGAGGAGGAUAACCACUCGAAAGGGUGGCUAAUACUCCGUAAUAUCGUAAGGGGGCAUCUCCUAACGGUUAAAGCUGGGGAUCCUUCGGGACCUGGCGCCUGUGGAGGGGCUUAUAUCCUAUCAGCUAGUUGGUGGAGUAAUGGCCUACCAAGGCAUCGACGGGUAGCCGGACUGAGAGGUCGGCCGGUCGCAGUGGGACUGAGAUACUGCCCACACUCCUACGGGAGGCUGCAGUCGAGAAUCUUCGGCAAUGGGCGAAAGCCUGACCGAGCGACGCCGCGUGGAGGAUGAAGGCCUUCGGGUUGUAAACUCCUUUUAGGGGGCAUGAAGGGCAGGAGGAUAACACCUUUUCUGUCCUGACGUAAACCCCAGAAAAAGCCACGGCUAACUACGUGCCAGCAGCCGCGGUAAAACGUAGGUGGCGAACGUUAUUCGGAAUUACUGGGCAUAAAGGGUCCGUAGGCGGGUUAGUAAGUCAGUUGUGAAAUCCCACGGCCUACCCGUGGAACGGCAUCUGAUACUGCUAGUCUUGAGUGUGGGAGAGGAGAGUGGAACUCUUGGUGGAGCGGUGAAAUGCGUAGAUAUCAAGAGGAACGCCGGUGGUGAAAACGACUCUCUGGCCCAUUACUGUCGCUGAGGGACGAAAGCUAGGGGAGCAAACAGGAUUAGAUACCCUGGUAGUCCUAGCCAUAAACGAUGAGCACUAAAUAGGGGGAAUCCGAAAUUUUCCCUGUUGUAGCUAACGCGUUAAGUGCUCCGCCUGGGGAGUAUGGUCGCAAGGCUAAAACUCAAAGAAAUUGACGGGGGCUCGCACAAGCGGUGGAGUAUGUGGCUUAAUUCGAGGCAACGCGAAGAACCUUACCUGGGCUUGAAAAGCCGGUAGUAUCUGCCCGAAAGGGCGUGAGAUCCUAGUUUACUAGGAAGCCGGUACAGGUGUUGCAUGGCUGUCGUCAGCUCGUGCCGUGAGGUGUCGGGUUAAGUCCCAUAACGAGCGAAACCCCUGCCCUUAGUUACCAGCGGGUCAUGCCGGGGACUCUAAGGGGACUGCCGGUGUUAAACCGGAGGAAGGUGGGGAUGACGUCAAGUCAUCAUGGCCCUUAUACCCAGGGCUGCACACGUACUACAAUGGCCGGUACAAAGGGAAGCAAGACCGUAAGGUGGAGCAAAUCCCAAAAAGCCGGUCCUAGUUCAGAUUGAGGGCUGCAAUUCGCCCUCAUGAAGCUGGAAUCGCUAGUAAUCGCGGAUCAGCCACGCCGCGGUGAAUGUGUUCCCGAGCCUUGUACACACCGCCCGUCAAGCCACCCAAGCAGGGUCUACCCGUAGUCCGUAUACCAACCCGCAAGGGAGGAAGCGGCCGAAGGUGGGCUUUGUGAGGAGGACUAAGUC
This 1514-nucleotide ribosomal RNA is filed under the name metagenome. Its description in RNAcentral is "bacterial SSU rRNA". It matches the Rfam family "Bacterial small subunit ribosomal RNA". The record is from RNAcentral.